GUAAUCAAAUUGAAAAUAAUUAAAUAAAUGUCUGGUCCUUUCGUACUAAGACAUUUUAAGAGAUUAAAGUUAGAACCGACCUGGCUCACGCCGGUUGACUUCAGAUCAUGUAAG
This 114-nucleotide ribosomal RNA is filed under the name Trachys scrobiculatus. Its description in RNAcentral is "partial 16S ribosomal RNA". Lineage: Eukaryota; Metazoa; Arthropoda; Insecta; Coleoptera; Buprestidae. The record is from RNAcentral.